This 486-nucleotide unclassified non-coding RNA is filed under the name Hevea brasiliensis (rubber tree). The record is from RNAcentral. Lineage: Eukaryota; Viridiplantae; Streptophyta; Magnoliopsida; Malpighiales; Euphorbiaceae.
UAUUUAUGUUGUUUAAAACCCUCAUAGAGGAACUAUAAAUGUUUUAGCAAGCCCAGGUAUUUUCAAUAAUUUUACAGUUUGCUGACAUGGCUGAAUUACAAUUUUAUUAGUCUGAGCUCUUAAUGUCUUUUUACUUAUGUUUUUAGGUUUGCUGGAAUCUUAAUUAGUCUAGUAGUCAAAUAAAAGAGGGAAACUUGUUUGUCUCCAUAUUUUAUCUUAGGAGUCCAAAUAAUUGAAGGCUUUUUUGAAGAAUAAUUGAAGGUUAGCAUUAGUUUUUAGUCUAUAAACACCUACACUUGUAAUGCUUUCUAUUCAGCUUAUUAGUUAAAUCCCAACUGUGUUUUCUAAUUUGUGUGAAGCAAUUCUAACCACAGAAAGUGAAGUUUUCUUGAUAGGAAUGAGUCCUAGAUCUUACGAGUGUGAACUAGUAGAUUAUUUUGUUUGCCUUUUCUUUUUCUUUCUUUAUCUGAGAGAGAGAGAGAGAGA